Molecule: ribosomal RNA, 301 nt
Filed under: uncultured bacterium
Lineage: Bacteria
Description: partial 16S ribosomal RNA
Rfam family: Bacterial small subunit ribosomal RNA
Source: RNAcentral
CAGUCGCCGCGGGAAUACGUAGGGUGCAAGCGUUAAUCGGAAUUACUGGGCGUAAAGCGUGCGCAGGCGGUUAUAUAAGACAGAUGUGAAAUCCCCGGGCUCAACCUGGGAACUGCAUUUGUGACUGUAUAGCUAGAGUACGGCAGAGGGGGAUGGAAUUCCGCGUGUAGCAGUGAAAUGCGUAGAUAUGCGGAGGAAAACCGAUGGCGAAGGCAAUCCCCUGGGCCUGUACUGACGCUCAUGCACGAAAGCGUGGGGAGCAAACAGGAUUAGAGACCCCUGUAGUCCCUGUCUCUUAUAC